AAAAUGGCCGCCUACAUUGCCAUGUGUUUGCCAGGUUCCCACUUCUUGAGGAGUUCGCGGAUAGCCGGGAGCAACCAGAUCGGGUUCCUCUGGUGGUGGUGGCGAACAACGGGGCAAGGGUUGAUGUACCUGCAGGUUCCAAUGCUGAUUCUGGUUGUGGGCAGCAGAUUGGAUGCGAGGGCAGCACUCCUGCGCUUGCUGGCGUUCGACGACGAUCGGAUUCAUCCCCGACAAGGCCUGCACAGUGAACUGACAGAGUCAACCCCCAGGUGCCUUGUUGGAUGAAAAGGUAUGAAAACAAUGAUUCGCACGCGCCAAUGAAAACAAUGAUUCACGCGGGUGGGGAAAAUUCAGACAUGAGGAAGAUGAUUUCUGAUUAAGGUUGGGGAGUACGCCACCAGACCGGACACCGUGUCCAUCCCGAAUUAGUGCUAUGGAGCAGUUGAUUCGCAAAUACGCAGAGGAACCAACUAAAAGUGUGAUAAGACCUGAAAUUGGCUUUAGCCAAUCCGGAGCUGUUUGAAGGCAUGUUUGAGCAUGCAAAGGCGUCACUGACUACGCUUGGUGUGGAAGGUGACGUCGCGGGAGAUGCCCCCCGUGGAUUUGGAGGCAAUUUCUGCAGAGCUGGGAACAGGGAAUUCGUCGAGGCGUGACUGGGGGAGAAGUACCCCACAUCGAUUGGGCUGUGCCAAGUGGAACCUUCUGAACAUGACAUUGGCAAGUUCUACCUCAGCAUGAUAGGGUGCGGCGAGAACAUUCUAAAGAAGAAAUGGUUCAAGCAUUAUCAUCCAAUACUAGCAGUGGGUUCUGGUCAAGACCUGAAGGAUGAGCUAACCCCUGGUGGCGAAUUGACACUGAAUUUGUGGAGAUGCAUACAACGGAUGCUAAGCGAGAAGGAGAUCAUGUACAGAGGGUAGUUAGAUAGAUUCAGAGGGAUAUUCGACCCUCAUUUUGUGGUGGAGCUUUGUAAGGAUGGUGAAGCAAAAGACUGGGAGUACAUCUACAUGAUGAUGGACUGUAAAAAGAUGGGCUACAGAAUCGACUGGCUUAAAAAGUUCAUGUUUCCGGUUAAUUACAUGGAUUGCUAGUCACUGUACAUCCUGGACAAGGGUACGAAAGUUGUGAUGGGGCUUGAUCCAACUGAGACAGAUGGGUCAGAUGAGACGAAGAUCAAGCACGAGCCCUUGGCAAGGAAGUUUCAGCAAAGCUUCUGCACCCUGUUCAAUGACGUUUAUGGUGUUGGAUUGGUAGACAGCUGGGUGGUCUUUUAUGUACCUGCUGGUGGCGCAGCACGAGCCAUGUAGCAGGGAAAACAGUAGUAUAUAUGCCAUGCACUACAUCCUGGAUUUCACCGGUCUGUACCUGUGAAGGACACUUACUCAGGGUCAGAUUGAGCAUCUACGAAAGAAGAUUGCAUACGAGAUAGUGGCCACGAAGGGUAACAAAGGAGAACUCCCGGACUUCCUGUACCAGGAGAUUGUUGAUUGAUGACGAAUCAGAAGUACCUGCAGUCUGUGUGCAGCCCGUCGAGAUAUUUUGGCUGUGCGUCCUCUUUGUCGGUAGAUGUGGAGGUUUAAUAGGGAAGCCAUGAUAGGGUGCGGCAAUAACAUUCGAAAUUAGAUUGUAAGUUUGGGGACCUAUGGACAUGCGUUGUUUUAAUUAUGUGGACCUGUACUUAAGUAUGUGGAACUGGGUGAA
Triticum urartu is the source of this 1698-nucleotide non-coding RNA. The record is from RefSeq and is a predicted model, not a curated record. NCBI's taxonomy places the organism in Eukaryota, Viridiplantae, Streptophyta, Magnoliopsida, Poales, Poaceae.